This 249-nucleotide ribosomal RNA is filed under the name uncultured bacterium. RNAcentral's name for it is "partial 16S ribosomal RNA". It matches the Rfam family "Bacterial small subunit ribosomal RNA", at positions 528 to 776 of the family's 1533-position model. The record is from RNAcentral.
GAGACUGCGAGCGUUAUUCGGAUUCACUGGGCGUAAAGGGUGCGAAGGCGGCCGUGUGUGUGAGGCGUGAAAGCCCGGGGCUUAACCCCGGAAUUGCACCUCAAACUACACGGCUAGAGCAUUGGAGAGGGUAGCGGAAUUCACGGUGUAGCAGUGAAAUGCGUAGAUAUCGUGAGGAACACCAGAGGCGAAGGCGGCUACCUGGACAAUUGCUGACGCUCAGGCACGAAAGCGUGGGGAGCAAAAGGG